This 253-nucleotide ribosomal RNA is filed under the name uncultured bacterium. RNAcentral describes it as "partial 16S ribosomal RNA". It matches the Rfam family "Bacterial small subunit ribosomal RNA", at positions 524 to 776 of the family's 1533-position model. The record is from RNAcentral.
CACGUCGGGCGCAAGCGUUGUCCGGAAUUAUUGGGCGUAAAGAGCUCGUAGGCGGUCUGUUGCGUCCGCUGUGAAAACCCGGGGCUUAACCCUGGGCUGGCAGUGGAUACGGACAGACUAGAGGUAGGUAGGGGAGAAUGGAAUUCCCGGUGUAGCGGUGAAAUGCGCAGAUAUCGGGAGGAACACCGGUGGCGAAGGCGGUUCUCUGGGCCUUACCUGACGCUGAGGAGCGAAAGCGUGGGGAGCGAACAGG